RNAcentral lists this long non-coding RNA (705 nucleotides) under Brassica napus (rape). Its description in RNAcentral is "long non-coding RNA (BNAP_LNC007710)". Lineage: Eukaryota; Viridiplantae; Streptophyta; Magnoliopsida; Brassicales; Brassicaceae. The record is from RNAcentral.
AACAGCUUCCUUAAGAUCUCACUGUUGAACCAACUCAACACAUCUCCACUCAAACUGAUUGAAACCAGCUCUGACCUUCAUCGCUUCACUAUAACCACCAAUCCUGAAAUGCCUCUCCGCCAAGGCAAUCCAACGGAAGUUUGAUUCGGCAAAUCACACCAUCGCGAUUCUCAAUCAAUGGAGGUCUAUCUCUCAUCGCAUCAGACCUAAGACUACGGCCAGGUUCCAAUUCAGAAUCGAGUACCUGAUUUUGGCCGUUCGUCGGACUACGAUUAAGAUCGUCCACCACCGGUUGCGAUGUGUCUUCGUCAACAGAAUGUAAAGAUCUGUAAACUUCUCCUCAAUACUCGUCAUCGAUGCUCGCAAUUGCAUCGUUGAUUCUUGUUGCUCCGCGUAAUUCAUCACCACCGUUUGCGAUAGCGCUUCUAACGUCAUCGCUCUCGUCAUCGUCACGAUCGUUCGAUCCAGAAUACUCUCACGCACCAAUUUGAUAUGAAUUGUAUCGUAUAUUGAAGAAGUACCUCCCAACCACCCUCUCUUAGUCUCUACAAUCCAGAGAACUAAUCCAAUCUUGAAUCUCACACUUGAGAAACAAGCCACUCGAUUCCUAACAGAAUGAAUUCAGUGAACAAACUAACGAGCUUUUUAUAUACAAGACUCGUGUACAAUAUUCCUAUUCUUUAUUUAUAAAGCUAGCAACUUGCC